RNAcentral lists this ribosomal RNA (691 nucleotides) under Cycloclypeus carpenteri. Its description in RNAcentral is "eukaryotic LSU rRNA". It matches the Rfam family "Eukaryotic large subunit ribosomal RNA", at positions 656 to 1368 of the family's 3401-position model. The record is from RNAcentral. Lineage: Eukaryota; Foraminifera; Rotaliida; Nummulitidae.
GAAACACGGACCAAGGAGUUCAACUGGAUUGCGAGUCGUAGAGUUUAUCACAAAGCUCCAACGGCAUAGCGAAAGCAAACUCGUGCCAAAUGCUUACUCUCUAUAUUGUGAGUAUUGCAGCACAGGCUGAUUACGGAUAUGCGUAGAGCUUUGCUGUGUGUAUACUUUCAUCCUUCUGCGAUGAAAGACUAAUCAAGCUAUAGAGCACUUUAGUUGAGACCCGAAAGAUGGUGAACUAUGCUCGGACAUGGUGAAGCCAGGUGAAAACUUGGUGGAAGCUUGCGUUGUGCGGAACUGACGUGCAAAUCGUUGCCGCCUGACCUGAGUAUAGGGGCGAAAGACUCAUCGAACCAUCUAGUAGCUGGUUCCCUCCGAAGUUUCCCUCAGGAUAGCUCGAAUUUAUUAUUUUAACUCUGUAUCAUAAAGAGUAACACAAGGGUAAAGCAAUGAGACGCGGUAUCUGUGGGUCUUAUUUAAAUGACCUCGGCCUUCUCUCAAACUUUAAAUCUGUGCGAAUACGUAUGCUUGCUUAGAAUACGUGCUCUGUCACGUAGCGAAGUUACGUUUAUUGUAUCUAAAAUUCGUAGUGGGCCAUUUCUGGUAAGCAGAACUGGCGAUGAGGGAUUCAACCUGACGUUCUCAAGAUAAGCCGGGCUUAAUCAUAUCUGCUCCAACCUUCCGAUAAACGCGA